CCUACGGGAGGCAGCAGUGGGGAAUAUUGGACAGUGGGCGCAAGCCUGAUCCAGCAAUGCCGCGUGUGUGAAGAAGGCCUGAGGGUUGUAAAGCACUUUCAGUGGGGAGAAAGAGGCCAUUGUUAAUACCAAUGGCGGAUGAUGUUACUCACAGAAGAAGCACCGGCUAACUCUGUGCCAGCAGCCGCGGUAAUA
This 195-nucleotide ribosomal RNA is filed under the name uncultured bacterium. Its description in RNAcentral is "partial 16S ribosomal RNA". It matches the Rfam family "Bacterial small subunit ribosomal RNA", at positions 338 to 525 of the family's 1533-position model. The record is from RNAcentral.